GUGCUCUCUUUGGCAGCACAUAUACUACAAUUGGAACAAUACAGAGAAGAUUAGCAUGGCCCCUGACAAGGAUGACACACAAAUUUGUGAAGCAUUCCAUGUAUUU
Molecule: small nuclear RNA, 106 nt
Organism: Mustela putorius furo (domestic ferret)
Lineage: Eukaryota; Metazoa; Chordata; Mammalia; Carnivora; Mustelidae
Source: Ensembl